This is a long non-coding RNA of Acanthopagrus latus (yellowfin seabream), 165 nucleotides long. RefSeq lists it as uncharacterized. The record is from RefSeq and is a predicted model, not a curated record. The transcript is spliced from 2 exons. NCBI's taxonomy places the organism in Eukaryota, Metazoa, Chordata, Actinopteri, Spariformes, Sparidae.
GAGAGGAGGUGGAAAGGAACGGAGACAAGACAAGAGGAGGAGAGGAGGACGUUGCAAGCUGAACCAAACUUCAGAAACUCCCAGAAGUCAGCGUCACCUGGCUACAAUGACUUUUGAAGCCAUCAAACAGUAAACGUGUGUUUGAAAUAAAAAGUCAAAACAAGA